ACCCCAUCUGCAGCAAGGACACCGGCACGCAGGUGGAGCAGCUCCUGCAGCACUAUGAGAAGCUGCAGGAGCAGGUGGAAUCCGUCAUGUGCCAGCAGGCAGCGGGCAAGGUGGCGAGGCAGCGGCAUGAGAAGAGCCAGCAGGAGGAGAAGCUCCUGAAGCACAUGCAGGCCAGCAUUGCGCCAGCUGCAAGCACAACAUGAGUGGCUGGGCUCUGCUGUGAGAGACCUCCUGGAUGGCUCUGAGAAGAAGCAGAGAGAUAUAGAGGCUCUGUUCCUGUUCCUGGAGAGGCUGGAGGAGAAGAAAGGAGAGAAGGAAGUCCUGGAAGUCGAUUCGAAAGCAACCAAAUCCACCGCGGGCAGCCAAGUCAGCCGAAGCCAGUUUGAGGCCAGCAUGGAGCGGCUGAUGGAGAUAAUAGAGAAGAUCCAGAGCCAGG
Cuculus canorus (common cuckoo) is the source of this 436-nucleotide long non-coding RNA. RefSeq lists it as uncharacterized. The transcript is spliced from 4 exons. The record is from RefSeq and is a predicted model, not a curated record. Lineage: Eukaryota; Metazoa; Chordata; Aves; Cuculiformes; Cuculidae.